CGAUCUCCUUCUUCCCUUUCCCCUCCUCCGCUCGAGGGAAGAUGUCAGAGGGUUAAAAUGUCCUGCUCGCCCUCUCCCUUGAUCUCGGGGAGAGAGGUAAGAGUUGCUGGCACCUUUAUGGGACUCAGACCUGCGGCGGCUGCGGGAAGCGUCGGCCCCCGCUAACUUUGAUCGGCCUUAUUCAUCCCAGCUGCGCUCUAUUUGUUUGUCAUUUCGCCUUUUUACUCCCCGAAUCGUUAUUUAUGGUCUGAAAAGUGAAACGCGCGGUGAUUUGCCUUUACAUGGACUCUUUGCAAACGGGGGUAGACACCUCCUCCCCUCCCCCUCCCCGCGAGGGGGGGCUGCCAAAAGAGAGGGGGGAAAAAACCUGUCUCAAUCAUUAUCAAAUCAGCUUUGAAUUCAUUACUCCAGAGCAUUAACUAAUUACCAGAUCAGAGAGAAGAAAAAAUAAAUAUCCCUUUAAAUAACUGAAGGCAUUCUUUAAGAGCCCGAGCAGCAACAAUAUCCACACAGCCGCCGAACAAGGAGCAAUAAGAUUUUUUUUUUUUAUUUUUGUCUCCUGCACAAAUAUUCGGGAGUAUUUUGAAAUCCCCCGUCACGGAGGACACAAGACGGAGUGGAAAAGUGACUUUUUCUGCCUGUGUGCUUUCCUGCCUUUCCGAGACCAGCAGGGCAGGGGUGGCACCUCCCACCCUCAAUCCCUAAAUCCCGAAAGGAUCCAGGUUCACGGUGACCACCCCCGGGGCCGAGUGGCCACGUCCCUCUGUCCCUUACUCUGCUCUAGGAAAAUGCAGCCGUCUCGUUCCUACAAUGGAAAAGCUCUUUUCGACUACCUGGAUCGUGGGAAGGUUGCCUAAGUACCCGAGAUAUGUCUGAAUGAAGAAGGCAAAGAAUAGAUCGACUUAUAUAUAAAUUCUGUCUGGGGUUUAUUUUGGUGCGAUGGCUUUUGUUGGGUUUUCUUUUGGGAGGGUUGUUUGUUUUUGACCGGUCGUGUUUUUUGUUUGUUGUUUUGUUGGUUUUUGGUUUUGUUUUUUUUUUUUGUGGGGGUGAGGUGAGGUUGGAGGGAGGGGUGGUUUGUUUCAAAAGUUAAUAAGCAAUAAAACCCUCCCGGUAUUGAUUACUGCCGGGUCU
This 1131-nucleotide long non-coding RNA is filed under the name Cyanistes caeruleus (blue tit). Its description in RNAcentral is "lncRNA (ENSCCEG00000013993.1)". Lineage: Eukaryota; Metazoa; Chordata; Aves; Passeriformes; Paridae. The record is from RNAcentral.